RNAcentral lists this ribosomal RNA (253 nucleotides) under uncultured bacterium. RNAcentral describes it as "partial 16S ribosomal RNA". It matches the Rfam family "Bacterial small subunit ribosomal RNA", at positions 524 to 776 of the family's 1533-position model. The record is from RNAcentral.
GACAGAGGCCUCGAGCGUUAGGCGGAAUCACUGGGCUUAAAGCGUGUGUAGGCGGAUCGUUAAGUGCCUUGUGAAAUCCCACGGCUUAACUGCGGAACGGCUGGGCAUACUGGCGGUCUUGAGCCAUCUAGGGGCGACUGGAACGAACGGUGGAGCGGUGAAAUGCGUAGAUAUCGUUUGGAACGCCAAUGGUGAAAACAGGUCGCUGGGGAUGAGCUGACGCUGAGACACGAAAGCCAGGGGAGCAAACGGG